RNAcentral lists this ribosomal RNA (460 nucleotides) under uncultured bacterium. RNAcentral's name for it is "partial 16S ribosomal RNA". It matches the Rfam family "Bacterial small subunit ribosomal RNA", at positions 338 to 795 of the family's 1533-position model. The record is from RNAcentral.
CCUACGGGUGGCAGCAGUGAGGAAUCUUGGUCAAUGGACGAGAGUCUGAACCAGCCAAGUCGCGUGAAGGAUGACUGCCCUAUGGGUUGUAAACUUCUUUUAUAAAGGAAUAAAACGAGACACGUGUGCCUUUUUUCCUGUACUUUAUGAAUAAGGAUCGGCUAACUCCGUGUCCGCAGCCGCGGUAAUACGGAGGAUCCGAGCGUUAUCCGGAUUUAUUGGGUUUAAAGGAAGCGUAGCUGGUAUGUGAAGUCAGUUGUGAAAGGUGGCGGAUCAAGCGUUAGAGUGCAAUUGAUACUGGAAGACUUGAGUACAGGUGAGGUAAGCGGAAUUCGUGGUGUAGCGGUGAAAUGCGUAGAUAUCACGAAGAACACCAAUGGCGAAGGCAGCUUACUAAACUGUAACUGACGUUGAGGCGCGAAAGUGUGGGGAGCAAACAGGAUUAGAUACCCGUGUAGUC